AACUUUCAACAACGGAUCUCUUGGUUCUGGCAUCGAUGAAGAACGCAGCGAAAUGCGAUAAGUAAUGUGAAUUGCAGAAUUCAGUGAAUCAUCGAAUCUUUGAACGCAUAUUGCGCCCAGUAGUAUUCUACUGGGCAUGCCUAUUCGAGCGUCAUUUC
Molecule: ribosomal RNA, 158 nt
Filed under: Hypoxylon perforatum
Lineage: Eukaryota; Fungi; Ascomycota; Sordariomycetes; Xylariales; Hypoxylaceae
Also listed under: 1 other name
Description: 5.8S ribosomal RNA
Rfam family: 5.8S ribosomal RNA
About the family: 5.8S ribosomal RNA (5.8S rRNA) is a component of the large subunit of the eukaryotic ribosome.
Source: RNAcentral